Molecule: microRNA precursor, 78 nt
Filed under: Schistosoma margrebowiei
Lineage: Eukaryota; Metazoa; Platyhelminthes; Trematoda; Strigeidida; Schistosomatidae
Description: mir-3492 microRNA precursor family
Rfam family: mir-3492 microRNA precursor family
Source: Rfam by way of RNAcentral
AGCCUUGUGUAUCCGUGCUGAGAUUUCGUCACACAACAGACCACAAGGGCUGAUGAGACUUCCAAGAUAAGUGAAGCG